Molecule: long non-coding RNA, 10970 nt
Organism: Planococcus citri (citrus mealybug)
Lineage: Eukaryota; Metazoa; Arthropoda; Insecta; Hemiptera; Pseudococcidae
Exons: 3
Source: RefSeq, a predicted model, not a curated record
CAAAUUAACGAACCGGUUUCAAAAAAUUCAUAUCAUGUUUUUGUCGCCUUUGUAUGUAGAAUAUACAAUGCGCCAAUAAAAACCAGUUUGAAUUUUUUGACCAAACCGAGUUUUCAAUUUGUGGACACCCUGUGCAUGGACCUGAAAUUUCCAAGGUUGCUUUUGAAAGUCCUUAUUUUUCCCUACUCAACGCCGCUUAUCAUUCAUCUCUCUAGCUCUUUCCACUUGGAAAUAAAAGCCACCGGGCACUACUUCUGUGUCAUACUGUAGAUAAUCGGUAGAUAAAUUUCGAUGGUCAUUUAACUACUCUUGGCGAUUUUCGUUGAGAUACAUCUCCUGAUGAGACUUGCACAUUCUCAUUCGAUGAAUUACUUUGUGCAUGUACAACCGAGUUGGUUUUACAGACACUUACGAACAAUAUUGGGUUCUUACGUUACUUCCCUUUUUACUAGGCAUAGAUACAUCUUUAACUUUAUCAGUUUUAUCUUUGGGUAAAUUUUCAACUAAAAAUUGACCGCUGGUCUUUGAACUUGAUAUAAAAAUGGAUUCAGCGACCCCAAAAUACCCCCAUUUUCCAAUGGUCAGUCAAAAUGUGUCAUUUUUCACGCUCUGCAACUUCUGUUUCAAGUUUUUUUUCCAUCUUUCAUAAAUCACCUAAUGUUCCGUGUCUACUGUCUACAAAACCAAACCAACCUACAUAUAAUGUACAUUAUCUGUAACAUCCGAAAAAAUGUUUGCCAACGGCCAUAAACAACUCCAAACCUGAUAAAUUUCAAAAGGUAACUUGGUGUAACGCGCUAUCAUAGAUGUCGUGUCAAGUGCCAUAGUGCCAUGUCACAACAAAACUACUCUUUUUACUCAGUGGCGGCGAUCUGUAAAUUUUCCGGAGUAGUGCUCAUGCUGAAUUAAACGAUAAAGCCAGAACUGUCUACUCAGGACCCCCCCUUCCAGAUUUUUCCAUCUAAUUGGAUAGCUGUGGUUCGAGGUUCAACGUUCAGAUUAUUUUUUUAAAAAAGGGAACUUUGAAACGAAAUGUCGAAUAAAAAAUUGAUUAAAAUUUUUUCAAUGAUCGGAUUAUGUUUUCGGAAUUUCUUCAGUAGAAUUUUUUCAUUGUAGAAAUAUUUGAAAAUUGUUACAGUAGAAUUCAAAUCUGUCCGAGCAAAUCGAGGGCAAAAGCUGUGAAAAAUUGAUAAUUCAAAACAUAAAACAAAAACAACGCUACUGCUAUAGAAACGUGCUACAGCCUAACCCAUAAGUCAUUUAUAUGUAGAUUACUUACUGAUUGAUUUUGACUAAAAAAUGUAUAAUUAACAAAGUGUCUCUGAAACUAAAAAAAUUACAAAAUUAGAAGUUUUCGCUCUAUGAAUACCUGACUAACUGAAUUUGCUAGAAAGACCUACCUCAAAAUGUCAUAUAAAUUUUUGGUGUAGGUACAUUAGAAAAGUGCGAAUGGUAUUGUUUCAUCGAAGCUGAUGGAUAUUUACAGACAGCACAUAAAAUGUGAUUUUGAUUUUUUCUGGUUUUCAUCUCUGUAAGAAAUAGAAUAGUAGGACAAAGAGCUUAUGAUGACUAUGAUGAGUUUUUCCCAUCCUACAUGAUUUUUCGAAGUACCUUAACGCUUUACCAUCACUAUCAUUUUUUGUUCAUUCAUACAGAGCUGCGAAUGCUUGAUCAAGUUUUUUUUAUGUUUAAAUGUAUGACCACAGCGAUCACACGUUAUUGAAGUUGUAGGUAUUAUUUUCCAUCUUACAAAUUUUUUACUGCGAUUUUAAUAUAUUUAAUUACUUAAAAAACUUGAAGAGAUACAGAGAUAGAACACAAGACAGAGAUAAAGAUUAUUGUUUAUUUACAUGAACGCUGUACUUAUGACAGCCAUUUUGCAGGACCUAUUUCUCAAAUGAAGUGUAGCUCCAGAAGACUACUUUAAAAACAUGCUAGGCAUGUAUACGUAGUAUCUACUAAUAAAUUUCCAGUAAAAAAGAAAAUGAAAUAAAAACGUAAAAAAAGGCCAAUCCGUAUUCCCUAAAGUUACUAAUAUCAAGAGAACUUUGAAUGGGGGUCUGGUGAAAAACGAAUAAAUGUAAAUGUGAAUUUAUGUUGCUGAGAGAGCUUUUUUACAUGAAUAUUGCAAAAUCACGUUGGGAAUCCUAAAACAACAUUUUUGAUACCUAAUUCAGUUUUUAGAAAUGAAAAUUCACAAAAAAUAGUAAUUUAUCAUCUGGUGAUUUCUCAGGCCAGCACUUUGCUGUUUUUUGAAUGCGAUUUUCAGACAGCUUGUGGAAUAGAUUACUGAGAGUUGGAAAGCAGGAAUGGCAUAAAAUUAUGUUUCAUUUUUAAUUUCUUAUAUCCAAUUUUUCGUCUCAUUAACAAGUUUUGUGCGGUAGAAAACUGGUAUCAAAACUCAAUUAAUAAGAUUAGAGAGCUGAGAUGAAUUUGAGUUUUUUUCAGGAUGUGUACCUGAAAAAAAUCAAAUUGUCUCAUCGAAAUUUUUUUAUGAGAAAAGAAGAGAUGCAGGAAUUCAUAGAAGAGCUAGAAAAAUGAGGCUUUUUAAGGUAGCUCAGCAGUUAUAUGAGUAUUUAACGAUGUGAUGAUGAAAUAGAGGAAUUUUUUUCAAAUGUUUCGAUUCAGUAAUUAUUCUAAUUUGAAUGUCUUUCAUUAGGAAAACGUUAUUUCGAAGAAAAAACAAAAUAAAAAAAAAAUUGAGAAAAACGAAAAAAAAUCACUGCUCAAGCUGAUAAAUUGAAUUUAAAUAAUAUUAAUGAACACGGGAAAAAAAUGAAAAAAUGUUUAAGCAACACAAAAAUAAGAGUACAAAAAAAGUGGAAAAAAAUAAAAAAAAACACUUCAAAAGCUGAUAAAUUGAAUUUAAAUAACAUUAAUGAACACGAAAAAAAAUGAAAAAAUGCUCAAACAACACAAAAAUAAGAGUAAAAAAAUUCAAUAAAUACAUAUUUUAAAAAAAAAUUAUUCCCUUUAGCUAAAUUAUAAGCAAGUAAGUAUUUAUUUUGAUAUUUUAAAGAACGUCAAAAACUUGAAGAAUUACUUUAAAAGUCAAGAGUCAUGAUUCAAACUAUUUUAUCUUCUUCAAAAAAAUGAUUAUCACAAAAUUUUAAACGACUUUUUGUUGAUUUUCCUCCAACUUGUCAACUUUCAAUAAAAAUUCAAUUAUUUUCAAUGAAUUUCUAGUUCUCUGAAAAAAUUACUCACAAUAAACAUACCUACUUCACGAGCAGUAAAAAAUUCAAGUUUCAACUGGUUUCAAUACAUAAAUGGAUUUUGAAAAAAUACUAAAAUAAGUUUUCAACCUAUAUAUUCAACUUGUGUUUCAAAGUGGAAAAAGUUUAAACAUUUUCUUGUGGUAUGUUUUAUUCACCUUCGAUUUUCAAAAAAAAAAAAUUGUUUUUUGACAAAGAAAAAAAAGAAAUAGUUUCUCAAAAUUGAAUAAAUUGUACUAGGCAAGUAUUUUCAUUUUAUUUUUAACACCUGUGAUGUUCAAAAUUUUUUCUGUUCAAAACAUCAAAACAAAAGUGAAGACAAAAAAAAUUCAAGUUUUUCUUAUGAAACAUGUCUUAAAAGUGUUUAAAACUGUUUUAAACAGAUUUUAACCCCCUCUUUCUCCUCUACCAAAGAGGAUUUCAAGCCAAGAAAAUCAUACUUCUUGUUAUUUCUCGAACUUUUUUUUAAAAAAUUUUACUUCUUUAAGAAAGAAAAUUCAUAAAUUUGAAUUUAAAAUAUAUACCAAAUUCAAGUCUUAAUUUCUUAUGCAGUUUAUGUGUCUAGAUAAAAUGCAAAACUGACGUUACAAGAAAUCACAAGCUGAACGAAAACUAAGCAAAAUAUUAUAGAAAAAGUGGAGGAAAAAGUACGAUGGUAAUUCCUCAGUCACAGCUCGUUUCAAUUCAAACACAUUGAAAUCAUUCAGAAUUUUUUAGAAAACAAUGUUUCAAAGUUGAUCUUGGAAUUGAGAAAACCUGUUUUAAAAAGUUCAAGGACAAAAAAUAUAAUGCAUCAGUUGAAAAUUUCCAAGAAAUCAUAAAUAUUUCAAAUAAAAAAACAAGAAUGCGAUGUCCUUGAGAAUUUUAUUCAUCCUUCAGCUGUCUCUGUGAGUAUUAAAAAUGUAGGUAAUAAUCAAAAAAUGCUUGAAAUAAAUUUCGAAAAAGUAAAUGAAAAUAAAAAUUUAUACAGAAUUUUUCAGAUAAAAUAUCAUUUAUGAUACACUUACCACUUGUAUUUCGACUGAAGUGAUAACUUUAAUGUCGAUUCAUGUCCACUAUGUAAUUAUUAUUAUUUUCAAUGAAUUUCUAGUUCUCAGAAAAAAUUACUCACAAUAAACAUACCUACUUAACGAACAGUAAAAAAUUCUAGUUUCAACUGGUUUCAAUACAUAAACGGAUUUUGAAAAAAUUCUAAAAUAAGUUUUCAAGUGUUCUAACUACUCGUACUAAGCGCACUACCGAUAUAUAAGAGCAACCAGAAAACAUACUGGUGUUUGUUGGUAUAAAUAGAAUCAAGAGUUUGAACAAGAUCCUAAAAAUUUUACAAUUUAUAAGUAAGUAGCUUAGUUAGUCCGGCAUAUGACAAUAGGAGUAAUUGCACCCCAGCCUCACCUGUCAAAAUUUCAAAAGCGUUUUUCGAUUUUUGGUGAAUUUUUGAAAAUCCAAUUUAGGCCAAAAAUGAGGGAAAAAUCAAAAUUAUACCAAAUUGACCAAGAAAACUGAAAUUUGGGAUGUACCUACCCUAUUUUCGACACUGGAGGUUCCAGUAAUGUUCAAAAAAGUCGCAGGAGGCUCUAACAUGACUUGAAUCCACCUGAAGUCGUCUUCAGAGGGUGUCAAAAUAUUGGAGUGUAGAGAAAAUGUUAGCUUUCCCAUCUCCAUUUUGAUGAAAUUUUGUGAAAAUUUAAAGUUUCAAAAAUCUGCUGGAGGCUCCAAAACGACUUAAAAUUCACCUGCAGUACUUCGUAGCGUAUUGAAAUUAGUUUUUAGAAUAAAUUUCAGCUUUACAACACCAAUUUGAUGGAAUUUUGUGAGAAUUUCGAGUUUCAAAAAUCUGCUGGAGGCUCCAGAACUGCUCAAAACGGGUUGAAACCGUUUCCAAUCGAUUUGGCAUGUCGAAAAUAGGGUAGGUAUAUUCCAAAUUUCAGCUUGCUUGGUCAAUUUGGUAUAAUUUUGAUUUUUUCCCUCAUUUUUGGCCUAAAUUGGAUUUUUAAAAUUUCUCCAAAAAUCGAAAAACCCACUUUAGCACUUGAAAUUUUGGCAGGUGAUAAAUUUUUUCUUGAUCUUUUGAUCUACUUUUGUAAGGUUUGAAAAAUUUCGUGCAAGUUCUAUGUUGAAACGAAAAAUCUGCGAUUUCGGCUGACCUGUCAAUCAAAAUGGUAAGUGAGGCCAACUUUUUUUGGGCAAGUUUGCUUUAAAAUGUUCCUUAGGAUGUCCCCUUUAAGAAAAAUGUUAUCCCGGAGGAUCGGCGGGGAGGGGGUGCAAUUACUCCCAUUGUCAUAUGCCGGACUAAGUAGCUCAUUUAUUUAUGGAGCCAGGGUUAUAAUGUAGGUGAAUUAGCAUUAAACAAAAUUUUACCUAUCCAAAAUUUUUUUGCGGGAAAUUGUGGAGGGUGACCCCCUGAAUAAUUCCUAACAGUUAGCACUUCGUACCCGUCUAGCUAAUUUUUUCCCCACAAUGGUUUUUUUGGAGUUUUCUUCUCAAGGGUUGAUUUUACGUCGAAAAUACCUUCAUACUUUUGUGUUCUACGUCAAAUUUUCGAUCUAGUGAUAUAUCAACUGUCCUUCUACCCCCAGGAGGGGCUAGAAGUUUUUUUUAGAAGACCCCUCUCAUUUGAAUAGUUCUAGCUCCCCCUGGGGGUAGAAGGACAGUUGAUAUAUCAGUAGAUCGGAAAUUUGCGUAGAAUAGAACACAAAAGUAUGAAGUUAUUUUCGACGUAAAAUCAGCCCCUGAGGAGAAAACUCCUAAAAAACCAUUUUGGGAACAAAAUGAGCAAGAGGGGCACGGGGUCAACCUCCACAUUUUUUCGCAAAAAAUCUUGGCUAGGUAAAAAUGUUUUUUUUUUUUGUGAUUUUUCACUCAAUUCGCCCAUACUAUUGCCUAUACCUAGGUACAAUAUAGGUAUUGUAUUUUCAAACUGGUUUUUUUUUUCAAUUAAUACGUUCUUCUUAUGGUUUGAUUGAGCCCUUACAUCAGCACAGACUGUCCCUACAAAUAGAUGAAAGAUCCCUAUUCAUACCAGACGACCCUUCCAAAAUUAAAAAAUUCUUAAACCUAAUUAAAAAACUUGACCUUACCAACUCGAUUUAAAUCUCAUACAACGGGUGUAAUAAUCAAGUAAUUACAAACACCCAAAAAAAUAAAUAAAUAAAAAAAAAUAACAAACGACUUUAUGAAGGUAUUUUCAUUCACAGAUUUAUGUAAGUACACUUUGAAUAGUGAGUUCUCGAAAUUUUUAGUGAGCACAUGAGUGUUUCAAAAUGUUCAGAAUUUUAUUCUGUACCCAAAGGCUCACUCAGCGUUUUUUGUUCAAAAUUCAUUAAAGCUCUAAUUUUUAAACUAUUCUGAACAGGAUAAAAAUACAAUUUUGAACAUUUUUGAUUUAGGUAUUUUAAAACACCUAAGUAUGUUUUCACUAAAAAUUUCGAGAAAUUUCAAUUCAAAAUAUACUUACAUAACAAUUUAUCCAUGAAUGAAAAUACUUACUACGUAUAUAAAGUCGUUGUUUUUGCAAUUCUGCACGAAAACAAACCAUUCGACGAGAAAUUUCAUUUUAAUUAAGAAAAGUCAUCAUCGAAAUUUAUGCAAAUUCACUUAUUCGUCUUAUUCAGCUAUUCCUACCAAUAAGAAUUAAUCAAGUCGAAAAACAGAAUUUCUCCCAUACAUUCGAUUCAUGUAUCACAGAUUCAUCUACAUCCCAAAUUUACCAUUAAUCAAUUCAGAGCAUCUUAUUGCUGAAAUGGAAUUUGUGUUAAUUCUCUAUGGAUGUUUCAUUUCUGUCGUGGCAUUAUUUUACACACUCUAUCAACAGGGAACGGAUCGAGUCUCAAAAACUUUUGCAAAAUUAAAUUAUUACACAUGGGGUAUCCAGGUAAAGAUUACUUACUACCUACGGUAAAACCUGUCGCUUUAAAAUGGGAGAAUAUUAUUUAAUACUAUAUUAUAUGUUGUUAUACUUGUAACCUCAAACACUAUUUUACUGAUACUUGUAUACAUUUUUUUUGUGUUCACCUACCUUAGGUAGGAAAAAUAAUCUACCUACAUGACAGAAUGUCAUAAAAAUUUCGUGGCUGAUUGUGUACUAUCAGUACACUAAAAGUUUGUGGAUAGAUAUGAGAAACCGACUUAGGUGACUCAUAGCUGUAUAUUUCUGAGAAUAGAUAGCUCUAAUAGCUACACUUCUUUUGAAGAUUAAGGUCCUACUUUUCAGCAUUAGUUAGUGACGUCAAAACUACAGCUGUAAUCAAGGCAGAGCUUUGACGUCACUCCGCUAUCACUGAAACGGAAGUUUUUGUAUGUACGAGUAUUAACCCUUUCGCGGUUGACGAGGUUCCCCGGUACGCAAAAUCUGAUUAUUUUGUCACAAGGCAUGCCGCCGAGGUUACAAAACAGAGAAAAAAAUCAUCAAAAAAUGAAAAAUUCAAAUCGCAAAAGGGUAAAUUUGAAAAAACAAUUUUGCUCAUAUUUGAUUAGAGAAAUGAGCGAUGUAAUGAAAAAAACAGUGUAAAUUAUCAAGUUACAGAAACUGAAAAUAGAAAUUAUAACAGACACAUUAAAAAUAUGAACCUAAGGUUAAUAAAUUUUAAGGAAGGGAAAAAAAUUAAAAAUUGAAAAAAAGGUCAAGUCGCAUUUCCUAAAAUUACCAAUAUCUAAAGGACCAGAAAUCACAGUCUGGUGAAAAAUGAAUAUUAAAAAUAAGAAUUUAUGUCACCAAGAGAGCUUUUUUCAUGAAGUUGAUAAAUCGCAUCGCAUAUCCAACACUACGAAAAAAUUGAAAUUCUAAUUGACAAAUCAAAACAAUCCUGAAAAUUGACUCAAUCUAACACUUUCUGAGUUCAACAUCUUGCAGUUGUUCAAAUACCAUACGAUUUUCAGACACCCUAUAGAACGCAUAAACCAGUCGCAAAUCAACACAGUAAAUCCAAAAAACCAUUGGCUAUACAAGAAACAUAAUCAAUUUGCAAAUUAAUUGUCUGUAUCCGACUACAGUCUACGUUAUGCACACCCCAUCUGGCGAUUUUCUAACGCAUUUUGUCACGUUGCAUCCCCAAACCAUCAGAUAAAAAUUACUAAAUUAAAAACCACAUUGCAAAUUUCUGUCAGUAGUAUUUUAUGAGAUUUUUGACUUGGCCAGAUAAAAACCUCAUCAAUGUAGAGUAAAAAAAUGCCUAUGGCUAAAUACUAGUUUCUCUUUUGCACACCCUGUCUGGUGAUUUUCUGAUGCAUUUUCAAUUGUGUCAUGUUGCAUCACAAAAUAAUCAGAUAAAACUUAAGGUAUUGAAAUUGAAACCGCAUCACGAAUGUCAGCGAAUAGCAGUUUGAGAUUUUUGACUUAGCCAAAUAGAAAACUCAUUGAAAAAAAAGAAGACUAUAAGAGGGAGAUGCCGCCAGUUCACUGAAAUUAACACAUUAGUCAUCAUAAUAGGUAUGUGAUCUGUCACGAGAAAACCAGGUUAGUGUCCAAAACGUAAAUUUUACAGGACGGGCAUUUGAAGUUUGAAUCUAUGUGUUUGGGGAUCUAUGAUUCCUAGGACCGUGAAACUUGGACCACUUUUGGUCACAAGGGGUGCCAACAUAACCUGACAUUUUUUUUCAAAAUCAGGGUUGCCAAAGGCCGAUAAUCGAAAUUUCCCCAAAUCGCUUUUGUCAGUUUUUGUCAAUUUCACGCCAAAAAUUUCGCGAAAACUACUAAGAAUGAAUUAUUAAUAUAAUGUUAAAUAGAUAUAUAGAGGCGUUGCGUACGUUGGGAGGAUAAGAAUAUUUCCCUAGUAGGUCAGGAUGAAUCUAACUCCCUAAGAGAUGUAAUAUAUCACCUUUUAAAAUAGUACUUACCCGCUGCUAGCUCAGCUUUUACAACACCAAUAUGUAUAAAUUUAAACAGAUUUAGUCGAGUUUACCUUGUAUUAAUUCGAACCGCACGCGAAAUAAGAACACACGAUAAACACGAAAAGUGUAUUAUAAUUUUGGAAUAAAAUUACAACACGAAACUUAAGUCUAAAACAUAUAAAACUCUACGCGUAUAACCAAUAUAUAUUCCACCAAAUAGUGGCGUAAGUAGGAUCGCUUUUACCCACCUACGUGUAACUAUCAAAUUGCCCGCGUUGGGUAGCGAAUUUAGGACUUAAGUUUAAACGCGAAUACUCUCCCUUAAACACGAACGUUAAGGCAGAGGACCUGGGACUCAAGCACAACUCUUACGUAGGAGUGAGUGGCCUUAUUACUUUUCCGCGGUCAGACCUACCAGACGAAGCGCGAAUCGACAAGUGAAGAUCAAUUCCAUCUCAACUUGGCUUCUAGCCUCGAGUCGAGAAGGAAUUGAGCUUUACGAACUUGUGAGCUUUUCACAUCUGCCCUUAAUGGAACGAUGUGAAAACACCUCUUGGGUGGUUCCCACGUACUUAACACCUUACCUAAGUGCAUCGAGUAUAUGCUUUCAUCUACGUAAAGUACUGUAGAAUCGAACUAUUGAUUGGAUUCUCCAGUACUUCCUUUAGAUGAAAGAUUUAUAAUCCCACUGAGAGAGAUACGAUGAAUAUCCCUGUCUAGCCAGUGAAGGCAUAUUGUCCCCUUACAUUUGCCCCUAACGUGGGUUUACUUCUAAAGUAUCCCCUGAGGAAAUGUAGAGGAAAGCACGGAAAUUUUGAAAAAAGGUGACAUUGUGCUUCACUGGAUGUGACCCUAUUGCCCCCCGUACUUUGCUUGAGUGAUGCGGGGAAUAGUAAUCCCAAAAUAAAUUUUGAAACUCUUUGGUUUUUAUUAUAAUUCCAAAAGUGAGGUGGAUUUUGAGUGUGCUGGUGAGUUGACUCUUAUUGAUAAAGAGUAACUACAAUUGACCAUCAAUAUUUGACCGAAGUCAAGAUAUCAAUAAAUCAAUCCAGAAGCUACCUUUGAUCUGGUCACUCCGCAGCAGGGUCAUGGCCGAAAUGGUAAGUAUUUAAGUACGAUUUAAUUUUUGAGGGGGAGGGUUAAUCUAAAAGGUACCCUUCCUCAAUUUUAUGAUUUCAGGAGAAGAUGAAAAAAGCUCAAGAAGUUCGUGGUUGUUUGGCUUUGUUGUCUUUGGAUAGUCUGACCAAGAAUUUUUGAAGAAAAAAUUGCUGGUGUAUUUUGGUCAACGACGAUGGCAAGAGAAUUACUUUGUUUAUCAAAAACUAAAGAUAAGUACAAAAACAUAUUUACAUUUUUAUUAAAUAAUGUAAAAGUUAAGAGCAUUUUUGUUUCUUAGGAUUAAUCAGUCUAAUUUAAACACAUGAUCGAUUUAAAAUAUCUGUACAUUUUUUAUUUCUAAAAAAAAUUUUAAAGUUAUGAAAUAAAUUAAAUAAAAAAUGUUGUUUUUGUUUAGGACCAGUUCAGAGAAAGAUGGGUGAAACUUAAAAUAGGAUUGAGCCAAAGUUGAACCAGUCUGUUGGGAUAUUUUUCGUAUUUACAAUAAGUAAGAAGGCAAAGAAGAUUUCCUUAACUAAUAAUGCACAGAUCCUUUUUCUUGGCUCAUGGACUUCUUUUCCAGGUUGUAUUUUCUUUUAGAAAAUAAUUUUAGAUAGAAAUUAAAAAUAAAAUUUGAGUAAACUUAUGCCAUUUUUGUUCCACAGGAAGACAAAGAUAGCUAGAUUUUUGAAAGGAAUGUUAUCCGUCUACAGUCUGAGUCAACAUGGCCUUCUGUGCCCUGAAUGUGAUAUCUUUGUUACAAAAUUAAAAAAAAUUAAAAAAAGAAUUUUAAAAAAAAAUAAAAUUAAAAUUUUUGUAAAUUUUUGGAGAAAA